AUCCGGUUGGUUUUCAAAAUAAAACUGCUUUCUGCGAGCGCGACGCCUCUGACUCGCUCCCGGGUCCGUCUUCAUUUUGAUUGUGCUGUGAUUUUGAUCUACCGGGAGCGAGUCAGAGGCGUCGCGCGUGAGCGCAGGCUGGAUGACAACGGGAUAAUCUCUGCCGCCGCCGCUCUAAAUCCAUCAAACUGGCCAUCUGAUGAAGACGAGCGCAUCCUCUACGGCGAUGAAAAACUUCUCGCCAUACACAAAACUCUUGCUGUUGAGGCCGCAACCAGUCCCAUACUCCUGAAGGAGUUCGAUGAGUUUAAAUGUCACGGUGUCACAGGAGAGAGCAUGCGCAAAGUUCUCACCGCUGUCUCCACGCUCCUAGUGUGCACAGCCGAGUGUGAAAGAGGUUUCAGCGCCAUGAACCACAUUCUUGCAGAUGGCAGAAACAGAAUGAAUGUGUCCACACUGCACAAUCUGCUUUUCAUCUCUGUAAAUGCACUAGAUGUUGCUUCCUUCCCGGCCCGCAGAUUUGCAGAGAUGUGGUUGAAGCAGGGUCACCACGCUGCUAUCGAUCCGCCAACAGGAAAGCAAAAAAAAGAGGCUGAAGUGCGUCAUCAGAGCGGACUGUUUUCGUAGUCUGACCUAUAGUCUACCCGAUUAACCCAUAAAAUAAAAAAAAAACGUCUUGACAGCACAUUGUGGUAUUUCAUAUUUUCUGUUGAACUGAUAUCGGGAAAAAAUAUAUAUAUUUUUUUAUUUGGCACAUUUAAAAACAAUUUUAGCUAUGAGAAAAUAUUUCUGCAAAUGCAGUGGUUAAGUUCACGUUCAAAAUAGGCCUACCGCCUACGUUAUGAAGCCUAAGUGUAAGGUUUAGAUACACAAGGUCACAAGAUCAACUGUUUUCAUAAGUUUUCACACUGUUGUGUGGUUAUUUUUCCUGAAUAAAAUGUCUCUCAAAAUUAUCCCCCCCUCUGGUUUUUUCACAAAUCGCACCCUGUAUAUAUCUAUGGUCCCAACAUCAAGGAGAGAUAUGCUUCCGCAUCGUGGGUCUAUGGCCACGCCCUACUUCAUGACGUACCGGAUGCAGAAAUAUUCUUGUUUUUUAGCAUUGUUAGCAUUGUAGCAUCAUAAGCGAGAGGUCUGAGCGAUAGCAGUCGCAUUGUUUACCGACCAUGGAAGUAAUCCCCCGAUGAUUCUCUAUAUGUUUAACAAUUAUUAUUUCAGAUUUGUUUGCCCCUUUUUGACUUUAUAAGAAAAGCACCUUGUAUAUACCUUUUUGAAUGUUAAAACAGAAAUAAUAAUUACCACUCGUUUUUUAAUAUAUUUCUGUUUCUGAAACGAGAAUCAAAUGCCCAAUAUAUACAUUGACCCAUCAGUUGGUGUGCCCAGGGAACUCACAAGGUGUUAGGAAGCAAAGGAGUCUGAAAUGACCCCACAUGGUAUCAUGGACCUAUUAUGUGUGGG
This 1455-nucleotide long non-coding RNA is filed under the name Gadus morhua (Atlantic cod). RNAcentral describes it as "lncRNA (ENSGMOG00000026133.1)". Lineage: Eukaryota; Metazoa; Chordata; Actinopteri; Gadiformes; Gadidae. The record is from RNAcentral.